This 389-nucleotide ribosomal RNA is filed under the name uncultured Sphingobacteriales bacterium. RNAcentral's name for it is "bacterial SSU rRNA". It matches the Rfam family "Bacterial small subunit ribosomal RNA", at positions 992 to 1382 of the family's 1533-position model. The record is from RNAcentral. Lineage: Bacteria; Pseudomonadati; Bacteroidota; Sphingobacteriia; Sphingobacteriales.
UGACUGUAGGUGAAAGCUUACAUCUCUUCGGAGCAUUUACGUAGGUGCUGCAUGGUUGUCGUCAGCUCGUGCCGUGAGGUGUCGGGUUAAGUCCCAUAACGAGCGCAACCCCUACCUUUAGUUGCCAUCAGGUUAAGCUGGGGACUCUAAAGGAACUGCCUACGCAAGUAGUGAGGAAGGCGGGGAUGACGUCAAAUCAGCACGGCCCUUACGUCCAGGGCUACACACGUGCUACAAUGGCCGAUACAGAGGGCAGCUACCUGGUGACAGGAUGCAAAUCUCCAAAGUCGGUCUCAGUUCGGAUCGGAGUCUGCAACCCGACUCCGUGAAGUUGGAUUCGCUAGUAAUCGCGCAUCAGCCAUGGCGCGGUGAAUACGUUCCCGGGCCUU